GAAAAAAUUUAAAUUUUUAUAGUGAAUUAUGUAUUGUGAAAGAAUUUUGAAAUAUUUGAAAAUAAAAUUAGAGAUAAAGUAAUUUUAAUUUAUUGUAUCUUGUGUAUCAGAGUUUAUUAAAAAAAUUUUUUUUAUAAAAAAUUCUCGAAUUUAAAAGAGAUAAUUAAUUAUAAAAGUUAUUGUAGCAUAAAUAUUUUAAAUAAUUAAUUGGAAAUGAAAUGUUAAUCGUUUUUAAAUAUAUCUAGUUUUUUUAGAAAAAAAUUUAAUUUUAAAUUUAUUAAAAGUAAUUAUUUAUUUAUUAAUUAAUAAAUAAUUUUAUUAAAUUUUAUAUUUUAAGGGAUAAGCUUUAAAUUAAAAUAAAUAUAAUAAAAAUUAAGUUUAAUAUUAUGAAAAUUAUAUGAUUUAUAUUGUUAAUUAAUUAUAAUUUUAUUAUAAAUAAUUUCAUAAAAAAUAAAAUUUAAUUAAAAUUUAUUUUUUUAUAAAAAAAUAAAUUUUAAUUAAAUUAAUUUAGGUAUAAUGAUAAAAUUAGUAUAUAAAUUAUAAAUUAAAUAAAAUUUAAUUUAUUUAUAAAGUUAAUUAUUUUUAAGGAAUUCGGCAAAAAAUUAUAUUCACUUGUUUAUCAAAAACAUGUCUUUUUGAAAAUAAUAUAAAGUCUAAUCUGCCCACUGAUUUUAAUUGAAGGGCUGCAGUAUUUUGACUGUACAAAGGUAGCAUAAUCAUUAGUCAUUUAAUUGAUGACUUGUAUGAAAGAUUGGAUGAAAUAUAAACUGUCUCUAAAAUAAAUUAUAGAAUUUAAUUUUUUAAUUAAAAAGUUAAAAUAAAUUAAAAAGACGAGAAGACCCUAUAGAGUUUUAUAAUUAAAUUUAUUAAAAUUAUUUGUAAUAUUUAAAAAUUUAAAUAUAUUUAAUUAUUUUAUUGGGGUGAUAAAAAAAUAUAUUAAACUUUUUUUAAUAAUUUAAACAUAUAUAAGUGAAUAAAUGAUCCAAUUUUAUUGAUUAUAAGAAAAAAUUACCUUAGGGAUAACAGCGUAAUUUUUUUUUUUAGUUCAAAUAAGAAAAAGAGUUUGCGACCUCGAUGUUGGAUUAAGAUAAAAAUUAAAUGCAGAAGUUUAAAUUUUUGAUCUGUUCGAUCAUUAAAAUCUUACAUGAUCUGAGUUCAGACCGGUGUGAGCCAGGUUGGUUUCUAUCUUUUAGAAUAUAAAAUAUUUUAGUACGAAAGGAUUAAAUAUUUAAAUUAAAUUUAAUUGGGAUGA
This 1252-nucleotide ribosomal RNA is filed under the name Lygephila dorsigera. Its description in RNAcentral is "16S ribosomal RNA". The record is from RNAcentral. Lineage: Eukaryota; Metazoa; Arthropoda; Insecta; Lepidoptera; Erebidae.